UGUUUGUCUGUCUGUGGCAUCGUAGCGCCUAAACGGAUGAACUGAUUUUGACUUUUAUUCUUUCGUUUGAAAGAUAAUUUAAUGGAGAGUGUUCUUAUCUAU
Long non-coding RNA from Chrysoperla carnea, 102 nucleotides. RefSeq lists it as uncharacterized. The transcript is spliced from 3 exons. Lineage: Eukaryota; Metazoa; Arthropoda; Insecta; Neuroptera; Chrysopidae. The record is from RefSeq and is a predicted model, not a curated record.